CCCGUUUGAUCAUGGCUCAGAUUGAACGCUGGCGGCAUGCUUUACACAUGCAAGUCGAGCGGCAGCGCGGGACUCGGGCAACCGAGCCCUGGCGGCGAGCGGCGAACGGGUGAGUAAUGCAUCGGAACGUGUCCCGUAAUGGGGGAUAACGCCGCGAAAGCGGCGCUUAUACCGCAAACGCUCUGAGGAGGAAAGUGGGGGACUUCGCAAGGAGCCUCACGUUAGGGGAGCGGCCGAUGUCCGAUUAGCUAGUUGGUGGGGUAAUGGCUUACCAAGGCUUCGAUCGGUAGCUGGUCUGAGAGGAUGAUCAGCCACACUGGGACUGAGACACGGCCCAGACUCCUACGGGAGGCAGCAGUGGGGAAUUUUGGACAAUGGGGGCAACCCUGAUCCAGCCAUGCCGCGUGCGGGAAGAAGGCCUUCGGGUUGUAAACCGCUUUUAGCCGGGAAGAAAAGGCCAUCCCUAACAGGGGUGGUUUUUGACGGUACCGGCGGAAUAAGCACCGGCUAACUACGUGCCAGCAGCCGCGGUAAUACGUAGGGUGCGAGCGUUAAUCGGAAUUACUGGGCGUAAAGCGUGCGCAGGCGGUUCGUUGUGUCGGUGGUGAAAGCCCCGGGCUUAACCUGGGAAUGGCCAUGGAAAACUGGCGAACUGGAGUGUGGCAGAGGGGG
This 672-nucleotide ribosomal RNA is filed under the name uncultured bacterium. RNAcentral describes it as "bacterial SSU rRNA". It matches the Rfam family "Bacterial small subunit ribosomal RNA", at positions 1 to 660 of the family's 1533-position model. The record is from RNAcentral.